GGCCUACCAUGGUGGUAACGGGUAACGGGGUGUUAGGGCACGACACCGGAGAGGGAGCCUGAGAAACGGCUACCACAUCCAAGGAUGGCAGCAGGCGCGCAAAUUACCCAAUCCCGACAUGGGGAGGUAGUGACAAUAAAUAACAAUACGGGGUCCUUUCGGGUCUCGUAAUUGGAAUGAGUACAAUUUAAAUCUCUUAACGAGGAACAAUUGGAGGGCAAGUCUGGUGCCAGCAGCCGCGGUAAUUCCAGCUCCAAUAGCGUAUAUUAAAGUUGUUGCAGUUAAAAAGCUCGUAGUUGAAUUUCGGGAUCAUCAUGUCGGUCGUGCCUCUGGUACGUACUGGUAUCGUUGAUUUCUACCUUCUGACGAACUAUGAUGUCAUUAAUUUGGUGUCAUGGGGAAUCAGGACUGUUACUUUGAAAAAAUUAGAGUGUUUAAAGCAGGCACACGCUUGAAUACAUUAGCAUGGAAUAAUGAAAUAGGACGUUUGACCCUAUUUUGUUGGUUUUUAGGAUCGACGUAAUGAUUAAUAGGGAUAGUUGGGGGCAUUAGUAUUCAAUUGUCAGAGGUGAAAUUCUUGGAUUUAUUGAAGACUAACUACUGCGAAAGCAUUUGCCAAGGAUGUUUUCAUUAAUCAAGAACGAAAGUUAGGGGAUCGAAGACGAUCAGAUACCGUCGUAGUCUUAACCAUAAACUAUGCCGACUAGGGAUCGGAUGAUGUUAAUUUUUUAAUGACUCAUUCGGCGCCUUACG
This 753-nucleotide ribosomal RNA is filed under the name Glomus sp. RNAcentral's name for it is "SSU rRNA". It matches the Rfam family "Eukaryotic small subunit ribosomal RNA", at positions 338 to 1092 of the family's 1831-position model. The record is from RNAcentral. Lineage: Eukaryota; Fungi; Glomeromycota; Glomeromycetes; Glomerales; Glomeraceae.